Molecule: ribosomal RNA, 807 nt
Filed under: uncultured bacterium
Lineage: Bacteria
Description: bacterial SSU rRNA
Rfam family: Bacterial small subunit ribosomal RNA
Source: RNAcentral
AGAGUUUGAUCCUGGCUCAGGAUGAACGCUGGCGGCGUGCUUAACACAUGCAAGUCGAACGAAGCACUUUAUUUGAUUUCCUUCGGGACUGAUUAUUUUGUGACUGAGUGGCGGACGGGUGAGUAACGCGUGGGUAACCUGCCUUGUACAGGGGGAUAACAGUUGGAAACGGCUGCUAAUACCGCAUAAGCGCACGGCAUCGCAUGAUGCAGUGUGAAAAACUCCGGUGGUAUAAGAUGGACCCGCGUUGGAUUAGCCAGUUGGUGAGGUAAUGGCCCACCAAGGCGACGAUCCAUAGCCGACCUGAGAGGGUGACCGGCCACAUUGGGACUGAGACACGGCCCAAACUCCUACGGGAGGCAGCAGUGGGGAAUAUUGCACAAUGGGCGAAAGCCUGAUGCAGCGACGCCGCGUGAGCGAAGAAGUAUUUCGGUAUGUAAAGCUCUAUCAGCAGGGAAGAUAAUGACGGUACCUGACUAAGAAGCACCGGCUAAAUACGUGCCAGCAGCCGCGGUAAUACGUAUGGUGCAAGCGUUAUCCGGAUUUACUGGGUGUAAAGGGAGCGCAGGCGGUGCGGCAAGUCUGAUGUGAAAGCCCGGGGCUCAACCCCGGUACUGCAUUGGAAACUGUCGUACUAGAGUGUCGGAGGGGUAAGCGGAAUUCCUAGUGUAGCGGUGAAAUGCGUAGAUAUUAGGAGGAACACCAGUGGCGAAGGCGGCUUACUGGACGAUAACUGACGCUGAGGCUCGAAAGCGUGGGGAGCAAACAGGAUUAGAUACCCUGGUAGUCCACGCCGUAAACGAUGAA